GAUGAACGCUGGCGGCGUGCCUAAUACAUGCAAGUCGAGCGAACAGACGAGGAGCUUGCUCCUCUGACGUUAGCGGCGGACGGGUGAGUAACACGUGGAUAACCUACCUAUAAGACUGGGAUAACUUCGGGAAACCGGAGCUAAUACCGGAUAAUAUAUUGAACCGCAUGGUUCAAUAGUGAAAGACGGUUUUGCUGUCACUUAUAGAUGGAUCCGCGCCGCAUUAGCUAGUUGGUAAGGUAACGGCUUACCAAGGCAACGAUGCGUAGCCGACCUGAGAGGGUGAUCGGCCACACUGGAACUGAGACCCGGUCCAGACUCCUACGGGAGGCAGCAGUAGGGAAUCUUCCGCAAUGGGCGAAAGCCUGACGGAGCAACGCCGCGUGAGUGAUGAAGGUCUUCGGCUCGUAAAACUCUGUUAUUAGGGAAGAACAAAUGUGUAAGUAACUAUGCACGUCUUGACGGUACCUAAUCAGAAAGCCACGGCUAACUACGU
Molecule: ribosomal RNA, 496 nt
Filed under: uncultured bacterium
Lineage: Bacteria
Description: partial 16S ribosomal RNA
Rfam family: Bacterial small subunit ribosomal RNA
Source: RNAcentral